This 88-nucleotide transfer RNA is filed under the name Candidatus Mycalebacterium zealandia. RNAcentral's name for it is "tRNA-Ser". It matches the Rfam family "tRNA". From Rfam's summary of the family: Transfer RNA (tRNA) molecules are approximately 80 nucleotides in length. Their secondary structure includes four short double-helical elements and three loops (D, anti-codon, and T loops). The record is from RNAcentral. Lineage: Bacteria; Pseudomonadati; Thermodesulfobacteriota; Candidatus Dadabacteria; Candidatus Nemesobacterales; Candidatus Mycalebacteriaceae.
GGAGAGGUGGCCGAGCGGUUGAAGGCGCUCGCCUGCUAAGCGAGUAUACCUCACAAGGGUAUCGAGGGUUCGAAUCCCUCCCUCUCCG